GUGCACUUCUCCCCUAGUAGGACGUCGCGACCCGUUGGGUGCUGGUCUACGGCCCGGUCGCAAGUCUGACGUGUCUCGUUUACGCGUGUCACGCGUCAGACGACUGGUUGCACCGACUGGCUGCCCGGCGGUAUUGAACGAUCAUUAAAUGGUAUUGGGCCGCAUCAAGUGCGUUCAGGCUCGUUGGCAGGCUCGCCUCGCUCGGAUUUACGGACCUAGCGCCGUUGCCGGGUGCUUGGUGUGGCUGUUGGCCGACGAUGUCCUCGGACUGGCUCUUGUAUAUUCGAACGGAUAUACCGGUCGGCGACGCUACUGCUUUGGGUACUUUCAGGACCCGUCUUGAAACACGGACCAAGGAGUCUAACAUGUGCGCGAGUCAUUGGGUCUUAUAAAGCCUAAAGGCGUAAUGAAAGUGAAGGUCUUCCUUAGCGUUGGCCGAGGGAGGAUGGCUCGUAUCACGAUGCGAGCCCGCACUCCCGGGGCGUCUCGUGCUCAUUGCGAGCAGAGGCGCACCCAG
This 517-nucleotide ribosomal RNA is filed under the name Encarsia sophia. Its description in RNAcentral is "eukaryotic LSU rRNA". It matches the Rfam family "Eukaryotic large subunit ribosomal RNA", at positions 595 to 798 of the family's 3401-position model. Lineage: Eukaryota; Metazoa; Arthropoda; Insecta; Hymenoptera; Aphelinidae. The record is from RNAcentral.